GAUGAACGCUGACAGAAUGCUUAACACAUGCAAGUCGAUGGGGAAGUGGUGCUUGCACCAUGGUAACCAUGGCGGACGGGUGAGUAACUCGUAAGGAACUUACCUGCGGGACCGGGAUAACAGCAGGAAACUGCUGACAAGACCGGAUAAGGUCAUUAAGCUGCAUAGUUUAGUGAUGAAAGGAGACGCCUGCGGAGAGCCUUGCGUCCUAUUAGCUAGUUGGAGGGGUAACGGCCCACCAAGGCGAAGAUAGGUAGCCGGCCUGAGAGGGUGGACGGCCACAAGGGGACUGAGAUACGGCCCUUACUCCUACGGGAGGCAGCAGUGGGGGAUAUUGGACAAUGGGGGCAACCCUGAUCCAGCAAUUCUGUGUGCACGAAGACGGUUUUCGGAUUGUAAAGUGCUUUCAGCAGGGAAGAAGGAAGUGACGGUACCUGCAGAAGAAGCGACGGCUAAAUACGUG
RNAcentral lists this ribosomal RNA (463 nucleotides) under uncultured bacterium. RNAcentral's name for it is "partial 16S ribosomal RNA". It matches the Rfam family "Bacterial small subunit ribosomal RNA", at positions 28 to 507 of the family's 1533-position model. The record is from RNAcentral.